RNAcentral lists this ribosomal RNA (273 nucleotides) under uncultured bacterium. RNAcentral describes it as "partial 16S ribosomal RNA". It matches the Rfam family "Bacterial small subunit ribosomal RNA", at positions 524 to 796 of the family's 1533-position model. The record is from RNAcentral.
UACGUAGGCAGCGAGCGUUGUUCGGAGUUACUGGGCGUAAAGCGUGCGUAGGCGGUGGCCCAAGUCUGGUGUGAAAUCUCCCGGCUUAACCGGGAGGGUGCGCCGGAAACUGGGUCGCUGGAGUACUGGAGAGGCAGGCGGAAUUCCUGGUGUAGCGGUGAAAUGCGUAGAUAUCAGGAGGAACACCCGUGGUGCAGACGGCCUGCUGGACAGUCACUGACGCUGAGGCACGAAAGCGUGGGGAGCAAACAGGAUUAGAAACCCCCGUAGUCC